GAUGAACGCUGGCGGCGUGCCUAAUACAUGCAAGUCGAGCGAACUUUCGGGAGCUUGCUCCCAAUAGUUAGCGGCGGACGGGUGAGUAACACGUGGGUAACCUGCCCGUAAGAUUGGGAUAACUUCGGGAAACCGGAGCUAAUACCGGAUAACAUUGAAGACCACAUGGCCUGCAAUUGAAAGGUGGCUUUUAGGUACCACUUACAGAUGGACCCGCGUCGCAUUAGCGUGUUGGUGCGGUAACGGCUCACCAAGGCGACGGUGCGUAGCCGACCUGAUGGGGUGGUCCGCCCACCUGGGAGUGAGACACGGCCCAGUCUCCCACAGGAAGGAGCCGUAGGGAAUCGUCCGCCAGUGGCGGAAGUCUGACGGCGCAACGCCGCGGGAGGGAAGAAGGACGUCGGGUCUGAAAGCUCGGUUGUUAGGGAAGAAAAAGUAUCGGUCUAAUAGGGCGGUACCUUGACGGUACCUAACCAGAAAGCAACGGCUAACUACGUG
RNAcentral lists this ribosomal RNA (498 nucleotides) under uncultured bacterium. Its description in RNAcentral is "partial 16S ribosomal RNA". It matches the Rfam family "Bacterial small subunit ribosomal RNA", at positions 28 to 507 of the family's 1533-position model. The record is from RNAcentral.